This 250-nucleotide ribosomal RNA is filed under the name uncultured bacterium. Its description in RNAcentral is "partial 16S ribosomal RNA". It matches the Rfam family "Bacterial small subunit ribosomal RNA", at positions 28 to 261 of the family's 1533-position model. The record is from RNAcentral.
GAUAAACGCUGGCGGCGUGCAUAACACAUGCAAGUCGAACGAUGAAACUUAAAUGAUCUCUUCGGAGUGACUUUAAGUGGAUUAGUGGCGGACGGGUGAGUAACGCGUGAGUAACCUGCCUUGCACAAGGGGAUAGCCGUUGGAAACGACGAAUAAUACCCUAUGAUAUGAUAGUCUCGCAUGAGAUUAUCAUCAAAGAUUUAUCGGUGUAAGAUGGACUCGCGUCUGAUUAGCUAGUUGGUGGGGUAAC